UAGAAACAGACCCACACUGGCCACCGCACCAGAUUCAAGGCAUUUGUUACUGUUAGGGACUAUGAUGGCCACAUCAGUUUAAGUGUUAAGUGCUCCAAGGAGGUUACUACUGCCAUCCAAGGGACCAUCACCCUGGCCAAGCUUUCCAUUGUCCCUAUGCGGAGAGGUUACUGGGGGAACAAGAUCGGCAAGUCCUACACCACCCCCUGUAUGGUUACAGGCUGCUGUAGCUCUGGGCUAGUACACCUUAUCCCUGCCCCCAGGAACAAUGGCAUCAUCUCGACUCCUGUGCCCAAGAUGCUGCUGCUGAUGGCCGGUAUUGACAACUGCUACACCUCAGCCAGGGGCUGCACUGCCACCCUGGACAACUUCACCAAGGCCACCUUCAAUGCCAUCUCCAGGACCUAUAGCUGCCUGACCCCCAGCCUCUGGAAAGAGACUAUUCACCAAGCCUCCCUGUGGAAUGCACUGACCAUCACAUCAAGACCCACACCAGAGCCUCCAUGCAGAGGACCCAGGCUCCAGCUGUGGUUACAGCAUAAGCUUUCAUACAAGAAUAAUAGUGAAUUACACCUGUUAAAAAUAAUAAGCAGAAGAAAAUGAAAUUGAACAAACCAGCCACCGUAGUCCCUUCUAAAGCGACGUGGUCUGCGGGCAUCAGUGCCCUUCCUCUCUGGCUAUAGCUCUUCGGCAUCUGAAGAAAGUUAUCCUAACUAUUGGGUGAUCCAGAUUUGGGCACUGUCUGCUAUGAUGAUGCCAGCUGGUCGGGAAGGAAUAUAAAGUAUAGGCUCAACCCUUCCACAGUCACUGUACUGGGAAUUCAGGCUUUUCCUCUCUGUUGAUGUCAAGAAUUAACCUGUAGAUAACAUUCUUUUUUUUUUCUUUUUUUUUUUUUUCAAUUUUUCCUUGUUCUUGUCAAAGGCUGUGUCGCUUAAAACCAAAUCUUGAUAGAUUCUUCAUCUUUAUCACUCUCUAUGAGAAGUAAAUAUGAUUUAAGUGAACCACAGUGAGAGGCCUGUCCUCACUACAGCAAAUAAGAUGUGUCCCAGGUGACAAGUCCAGUCUCCUUUUAACAUGGUGCCCAGAAUUCCACAUACCUGAGCUUUGGGGGCUGAUACAAAGCCACUGCCUCUGAUCCCACGGAAUGACCUGAAUUUACUAUCAGUUUUGCCACAAUCAGUGCAGUUUGAGGAUACGUAGACCCCUGAGAUGAGGCCUGAGAUAGAUGUUCUGGGAAACCCCAAGGAAGCUAAAGUACCUGCCAUGGUUUCUUUCAUGGCAGGUUGAGUAAGCCAAGCUCCUGAGAAUGAUUGGUCACAUUGUCUUUGCUGUUAAGGUUUCUUGGUUUACAGAUGGUGAAGUUGCAGACAAGUUAGCAAACCAACUGAAUUUUAAUAAAGGAAGCUUUAGGAAAAUGGAUGAAGAUGCAGUUGGAAAAUUAAAGUCAUGCUUCCUUGAUACAUACCUCAAUUCUGGCAACUUCUCACUUGGAAUUUUCCAAAGUCAGUUUUUGGUAAUCUUGCCAUUUGUAUUAUCUUUAUUUAUAUAGUUCUGGUUAUGCUUGGUGUGUGCCAGCUGUUUUGGGAGUGAUGUUUUUCCUUAUUUCUCUUGGCUCCUGUUAAGUGUUAAAUUGCUGAAACUGACCUUUAAUGCUUCCAAAGCAAUCAGCAUCUUUCUCUCUGGAUGGCUUUUAGAAGUGGACACAGUUUACUGAUUUAGCCAGUGAAGAGAAAGCUUUCCAUAGUGUGGUUUACUCAGAGCAGGUGACAAAAGGAUGAAUUUCUGGCUGGGCCCAGUGGCUCACGCCUAUAAUCCCAGCACUUUAGGAGGCCAAGGUGGGCAAUCAUUUGAGGUCAGGAGUUUGAGACCAGCCUGGCCAACAUGGCAAAACCCUAUCUCUACUAAAAAUACAAAAAUUAACCAGGUGUGGUGACAGGCACAUGUAGCUACUCAGGAGGCUGAGACAAGAAUCACUUGAACCCGGGAGGCAAAGGUUGCGGUAAGCUGCGAGCAUGCCACUGUACUCCAGCCUGAGCUACAGAGCAAGACUCUGCCUC
Molecule: long non-coding RNA, 2057 nt
Organism: Homo sapiens (human)
Lineage: Eukaryota; Metazoa; Chordata; Mammalia; Primates; Hominidae
Source: Ensembl